This 517-nucleotide ribosomal RNA is filed under the name uncultured bacterium. Its description in RNAcentral is "bacterial SSU rRNA". It matches the Rfam family "Bacterial small subunit ribosomal RNA", at positions 501 to 1016 of the family's 1533-position model. The record is from RNAcentral.
CUACGUGCCAGCAGCCGCGGUAAUACGUAGGUGGCAAGCGUUGUCCGGAAUUAUUGGGCGUAAAGCGCGCGCAGGCGGAUUGGUCAGUCUGUCUUAAAAGUUCGGGGCUUAACCCCGUGAUGGGAUGGAAACUGCCAAUCUAGAGUAUCGGAGAGGAAAGUGGAAUUCCUAGUGUAGCGGUGAAAUGCGUAGAUAUUAGGAAGAACACCAGUGGCGAAGGCGACUUUCUGGACGAAAACUGACGCUGAGGCGCGAAAGCCAGGGGAGCGAACGGGAUUAGAUACCCCGGUAGUCCACGCCGUAAACGAUGAGUGCUAGGUGUUAGACCCUUUCCGGGGUUUAGUGCCGCAGCUAACGCAUUAAGCACUCCGCCUGGGGAGUACGACCGCAAGGUUGAAACUCAAAGGAAUUGACGGGGGCCCGCACAAGCGGUGGAGCAUGUGGUUUAAUUCGAAGCAACGCGAAGAACCUUACCAGGUCUUGACAUCCCUCUGACCGCUCUAGAGAUAGAGCUUUC